Molecule: long non-coding RNA, 37084 nt
Filed under: Lactuca sativa (garden lettuce)
Lineage: Eukaryota; Viridiplantae; Streptophyta; Magnoliopsida; Asterales; Asteraceae
Description: long non-coding RNA (LSAT_LNC009926)
Source: RNAcentral
AACUGCACAUUCCCGACACAUUGACUAUUUCACAUAAUUCAUACAAAAUCAAGAAUGAAGAGAACAUUCCUUGUGAUCUUUUUGCUUUUUGUAGCAAGUGAAUAAUUCUUUCUUUACGUACAUAAAUCACUAUCACUAUGUGAAAGACCCCAACUUUCGUAUUUAUGAAAGACCCAAACUUUCAUACUAUUCCAACAUUAUUCUUAAGUUACUUUCUCAAAACAUGCUACAUGCAUAUUUAUAAAACAAUAUUUAUAUUGAUAAAGUGAUUACAAAAGAUUGGAUACAAACCGACUAAGUUUUAUUACAUUUCAUAUUUACCCAUGAAUCUACUAUUCAUAUACAUAUAUGAACAUUAAAAUACAUAGAAAUAGUAUUAACUAUUCUAAAUCUUUCAGCAUUAUAAAACUAUAUUGGAUACUCAUCACCUGCAAUUGUUAAAUAUUGAGAGGGAUAAGCGAUAACGCUUAGUGAAUUCAAUAAAUAGAUACAAUAUAAUCUUAUGCCUUAUAUAUACCAAUAUGACAGAAGCAAAAGGGAACAAGAACAACAAUAGCAUAUGCGUAUCAUAUGUCACGCUUUCAAUAUCAACUCAAGAUUUGAUUCAAAGAUUUAUGAUCAAUGAGACAUAACGAUUUCAAUACUUGAUAUGCAUCAAUAAAGCUUUUGGCCCAAACGGCACAGAAGAUAUACAACUUCGGAUUAACAUUUUGGUAGAUUUCAGGCUUAAAGCCCUGUCUAACCAUUUGCCAAUAUCAUAGAAUAGAGUUCAUUCUCUUACGGAGUCAUGCUCUACAUGGUCAGAGGCUACAUACCAGUCCUAUCUAACCUUCUGCCAAUGCCAUAGAAUAGAAGUCAUUCUCUUACGAGACAUGUUCUACAUGGCCGGAGGCUACAUACCAAUACCACCGUGAAUCUAAUUCCUUUCACUGAUCACAAGGUCAAAGGUAUAUCUUUGCUAUUAAAAAUAGCAAAUAAAAAUAACCCGGGAAAAUAACCCGGAAUAAUAACGCUGAAAAGCACGUAGUACAUAUAACACAUAACAUACAAUUUUUCGGGCUCUCCGGGCACUUCGGGGCGUAUUCCGGGCUUUAAAAAUGUUACCGGGGCUUCGGGGUAAUUUAAAAUAGUGAAAAUAUUGAAAAAGGGGCCAAAAAUGCCAAAUUUGGGAUUCUAGUCGGAAGAUCUCGCAACCCCCUUAUUUAUAGGGUGCGAGACCGAAGUCGGCUGGGAAGGAACUAGGCAGCGAAGCAGCUCGGUGGCAUCAGCAGUGAGGGGCACGAGGCUGCUGCGUGGCUCGGGCGUGGCUCGCAUGCGAGGCUCAAGGUGGCUCGCUUCACAGGUCAACACGGGAAGGCAGGUGGCGGUCUCGGAUUCGCUGAGCCUUCGGUGCGAGGGGGUUGCGACAUGCGUUGCCAGCUGCUCGGAUGACUAAGCUGCAUCGGACACAAGGCGGACACGGGGCGAGAUCCGGACCAAUCAGAAGAUGCCAACGAGGCUGCGGUCCAAUCAGAAAUUGCCACGUGGAUCAUCACUAUUCAUGUGAAAAUUAAAUAAAAUAUGUGCCAAAUCUUGUAAAAUCCAUAACUUUUGCAUACGAGCUCCGUUUUUGACGUUCUUUAUAUGCACACGUAGCUAAAAUUAUGCUCUACAACUUUUGUUUAGACUUCGUCGGCUAAUUUUGACUUUAAUUUUUAUAUUAUUAUUUUUAACAGACCGGUACAGGAUAAUCCGUUAAAAAUUCAUAACUUCUUCAUCCGAGAUCCGUUUUCGUCAGACUUUUUACCAUUGUAAUACAAAUGAAGAGACCUUCAAUUCUCGUUUAGGUUGUGUCGGCUAAAAAUCACUCGAUCUAAAAUUCGAGUUUUUAGCUGUCUACUGCUAAGCUGAAACUUCGAAAAAUCAUAGCUUCCUUAUACUAAGGCUAAAAAGUAGUUUAUCGAAAACUAAAUUUUUACGCGACAAAGUAUUUUCCAGAUUUAUCACGGAUCUUCGUUUGGUCAUAACUUCUUCGUUAUAACUCGGAUUUCGACUAGGUUUUCGCCUAAAUGUUUCUAAUGAGAUUUUCUACAACUUUCAAUAAUAAAAUUUUACUUAUUCCAAAUUUUAUAUUUUCGCUAUAUUUGACUAUUUGGCUAUUAAUUAGAAUCUCAUAAGACUUCUAAUAUUUUAUGAGUGAUUCUAAACAAAGUUUUACUUCAUUUCUAGUAAAAACUAUCUGUUAGAACUCAACACUCAUUUUUAUUCACUUUUAAUAAUAACAAUACACAAUUUCAGAAUGUGUAUGUUACACUACGGUCCCGGAUUUUUCUUAAUGAAUAAAAUAAGAGGAUUGGGUGUGAUUAGAAAGGAAAAACGUGUUCCCAACUUUUUUUUAUGCAAUGAAAGGAAAGGUUUACUCCCCCCCCCCUCUCACCCACUCAAAAUUAUCCAUCUAAUUUUGUGCUAAUUAAGAGGGAAAGCAAAAAAAAAUCAUUAUGUUCCUUUCCUUCAAACUCGAGAAAACCAUUGGUAUUUUUAUGCCUUCCAUUCUCUUCUUCACUUUCAUUUUUUUGAAUUUUAAAAUUCAAGAAGAGGAUGAUUAUGUUUUUAAUGAAAAAACACUUGUAUUGGAAUUAGCAUGCAAGCAAGUUAAUGAAAAAUCCAGGGUAUUUUGGGCACUCUCAUAAGGGGUUCUCGAUAUAUAUAUAUAUAUAUAUANNNNNNNNNNNNNNNNNNNNNNNNNNNNNNNNNNNNNNNNNNNNNNNNNNNNNNNNNNNNNNNNNNNNNNNNNNNNNNNNNNNNNNNNNNNNNNNNNNNNNNNNNNNNNNNNNNNNNNNNNNNNNNNNNNNNNNNNNNNNNNNNNNNNNNNNNNAUAAUAUGAAUUAACAUCUACCUUUUUUUAAUUUAUGUGACAGCUUUGAAGGACGUGACUUCGUAUUCACAAGAUUCGGUUCCACCAGAAUGUAACAGUUCUAUAGAUUGCCUUCAUCGUUGUGGAAUGUUUGGGUCUUAUGUUUGUAAAAAUCAUCAAUGUAUUUGUCUAAGUAAUGGUGAACAAAAGGACCCACGCCCACAUGUCCAAUUCGAUGAAAAUGUAUAGUAAUAAUGUCAAAAUGCAAUAUCAAAUGUAAAAAAAUGUAAUGAUUAAUAUGAACUCUUCGAUUUCUGCAACUUGAAUCUUUUUUAUCCUAGACAUAUUUAUGUAUAAACAAUCUAAUGUUAUAUAUUUAUAUGUUUUGACGUAUAUCAUAGUGCUAUAAGGUUUAGGUUGUAAAUGUGAAUACCUUUAAUUAAUUUGUUGUAAAUAUAAAAUUAAUGAUUACAUAAUUUGAAAAGUCAUCAAUAUUCAUUUUCUUAAAAUUUGAAGGAUCGUGUAUGCUAACAUUUGUCUAUAUAUUUUCAAGAAAUUGAGAACUAAUAAUAUAUAGACACACAAUUGCGCAUCCCCAACACAUUGGUUAUUUGACUUAAUUCAUAGAAGUCGAGAAUGAAGAGGACAUUCCUUGUGAUCUUUUUGCUUUUUGUAGCAGGUGAGCAAUUCAUUUUGUACGUAGAUAAGUCACCUUCACUAUGGUCUUGAGUUUUUUAAAUGAAUAAAGUAAGAGGAUUAUGUUAGAUUAGAAGGGAAAAACGUGUUCUCAAUUUUUUAUGGAAUAAAUGGAAAGGAUUAAGUAAAGAUUAGAUUACAUAAAAUACAUAAUUACAAAUAUAUAUUUGAUAUUUUUGAAAUAAAAUAAACAUCAAAUACAAUUUUCUUUAUCUUUUUGUUAUAUAUAUAUAUAUAUAUAUAUAUAUAUAUAUAUAUAUAUAUAUAUAUAUAUAUAUAUAUAUAUAUAUAUAUAUAUGGGGUNNNNNNNNNNNNNNNNNNNNNNNNNNNNNNNNNNNNNNNNNNNNNNNNNNNNNNNNNNNNNNNNNNNNNNNNNNNNNNNNNNNNNNNNNNNNNNNNNNNNNNNNNNNNNNNNNNNNNNNNNNNNNNNNNNNNNNNNNNNNNNNNNNNNNNNNNNNNNNNNNNNNNNNNNNNNNNNNNNNNNNNNNNNNNNNNNNNNNNNNNNNNNNNNNNNNNNNNNNNNNNNNNNNNNNNNNNNNNNNNNNNNNNNNNNNNNNNNNNNNNNNNNNNNNNNNNNNNNNNNNNNNNNNNNNNNNNNNNNNNNNNNNNNNNNNNNNNNNNNNNNNNNNNNNNNNNNNNNNNNNNNNNNNNNNNNNNNNNNNNNNNNNNNNNNNNNNNNNNNNNNNNNNNNNNNNNNNNNNNNNNNNNNNNNNNNNNUAUUCAAACUAAUUAUUGUGUUAUUGUAUGCGUAAAUAUGGGCCAAUCAUUUUACUUAUUUUAAGAAAGUGAUUAAUACAUAUUUUUGAAUUAAAAAUAAUCGAAAAAUACCAUCUAAUUCAACUAGAAGGGUAUUUUAGUCAAUUAACAUAGAUUUAAUAAAGGAAGUUUGCAUAUUUUAAGGGAUCAUAGAUUCUAUUAAUUUUAAAAAUCUGAUUUUACGAAUUAUUAGGUUUUUAAUUCGGACAUUCUGACAGAAUAUGUUUGAAUAUAUUCAAAAAUAAAAAAAAUUCUUGAACCAUAAAAUAAUAAAAAUAUUCUUGAACAUAUUUUUCUUGUAGAAUAACAAAUUCUUGAACCAGCAAUUGAAGAAUUAAAAUAAAAUUAUAUUAAUUCUUAUAAAAUACAUGUAACAAUUGCUAAGAAUUAUAUUUAUUGUUAAAGAAUAAACUAAAAAACUUUCAAAUCGGGGAAAAAAAACAUCAAAAUCUAACAAAUACACUAAUUUAUUCUAGAAGAAUAAUGUUGCUAAGAGGCGUCGUUCAAAUUUCGUGGUCGUUCUUCAACCAUCAACUUUUGUGGAAACAAAUCCAAUGAAUAAAUUAGUGAGAAAAUAUCCAUAUUCCAUUCUAGCAUAAUUGGAAUUCGUGAUUCCAUUCUGAUAGAAUUGGAAUUCAUUUACCAAUAAUUAUAUUAAUUCGGGGCAUUCUAACAGAAUAUGUUCAUGAUUAUCAUAAAAAACAUCAUUUUCUGAUAGAAUACUAUAUACAAAGAAAUAUCAUUCAGUUGAAGCAUUUUAGCGAGCGCUUGGUGUGCAUCAAAACAACUUUAGAUGGAGCAGCCGGCUGUGACGACCCCACCUCCACCUUCUUCUUCGUCUUCUGGAACGACCACACACUCUAGUGUGGUGUUUUCUUCUUGUUCUAUCGAUCAAAGCACAAAACAUACACCACCCCCAAAUCACUACUUCUAAGAAACAGAAGUUGACGCAGCUAGAGGCUGCUAAAAAAAAACUAAUUUCUUCCUUCUUCAUUUCCAGUGAAUCAACAAACCAAAAUUCCCUUCAUUUUUAUUGAUUUCCCAACAAACCCAAACACCCUAACGAUUUCUAUCAAACAAACAAACAAAAUCCAAAAAAUAAUCUGACCAUACAAAGUGUUAAAUAACAAAAAAAAACAUAAAUGUGAAUAUGAUGGAAUACAGUGUUGUUUGUACAAAAGUAGAGAACUCCUACCUCAUUCAUCACCAUAGGGGAAGUUUGAUCAUCUUUAUUGUAUAUAAAUACAAGCAGAACAUGCUUGAAUUCUUCAUAUGCUUCCUUAGAAUCAAGAACAGAGUCAUGUCACAACAAAAACAAGGAGAAUAUCCUCCAUAAUAAAUGAAAAUGAUUUUGCCACAUGUCAGUCUCUCAUAGAUUAUGCCACAUGUCAUUUUGUCAUAAAUUUGAAAUAUUUAUUUUCCACUUGUUAUUUACUUCAUUUUUUUAUUUUUCAAUAUAUAAUUAAUUUAGUUUCUAUAAAUUAAACAUACCAUAACUACUAUAUUAAUUUCAAAUUUUAAAUUUCAAAUUUAAUUUUAAAUAAAUUUACAGUUUAAACAUUUAUUUAACAUUUUGUUAUAAUUAAUACGUUUAGUACACUGGUCUGACAACUAAACAAAUAAUUUUAUUUUAUUUUUUCAUAUUUUCUUCUUAUAAUUUUAUACUUAUUUUAAAUUUCAAAUUAAAAUAAUCCUCCAUAAUAAAUGAAAAUGAUUUUGCCACAUGUCAGUCUCUCAUAGAUUAUGCCACAUGUCAUUUUGUCAUAAAUUUGAAAUAUUUAUUUUCCACUUGUCAUUUACUUCAUUUUUUUAUUUUUAAUAUAUCAUUAAUUUAGUUUUUAUAAAUUAAACAUACCAUAACUACUAUAUUAAUUUCAAAUUUCAAAUUUCAAAUUUCAAAUUUUAUUUUAAAUAAAUUUACAGUUUAAACCUUUAUUUAACAUUUUGUUAUAAUUAACACGUUUAGUACACUGGUCUGACAACUAAACAAAUAAUUUUAUUUUAUUUUUUCAUAUUUUCUUCUUGUAAUUUUAUACUUAUUUUAAAUUUCAAAUUAAAAUAAUCUUCUUAUUUAAUUAUUCGUAUUUAACAUUUUAUUUUAAUCAACCCGUAUAAUAUACGGGUCUCACACCUAGUAUACAGAUAAAGAAAAAGACACGGUUAAGGGAUUAGUUUGGAUAUUAAAAUCAGGAGAGUUAUUAGUUACAAUGAUAGCAAAAAGACAAAUGCUAAUGCAGAAGACAAUCACAAAUUAACAGGAAAUAAGAAACACAAAGACCUUAAUCUUUACACUCAUAAAGUUGAAGAAUAUUUGACUUUCUUUAACCAGAAAUAGAAUUGGAAUCUAGUGCCCGUUUUUAGAUUUGUGGUUUAUACAGUUGGUGGCUUAUAACUAAUAGAUCAUGUACUAGUUCUAACUACCUUAAGUCGCUCAACCCGGAUAGCACAAACUAACUUUCCAAACGAAGGUUUGACUUUAAACAAUCCGAAAAUGCAAAAUGAAUGGCAAGAAUAUUCAGGAUCAAUUUAUGUUUACAUAAAACAACAAGAAUAUUGGAACAUACAGGAUAGGCGUCGAGAGCUCUAGGAGCGAGUGCAAUCCCCAAGCAAUUGAUUGCAGAAUUACGAUCCUCUUCAGUUCCUUUCCUCAAAAGCUCAAUCAAUUUCUUCACAAUCAAAAUACAACCAAAUUCUUAGCAUUUCACCCCCAAUUUAUUAUUCAAUCUUUUUGAACAACAUUCAAAUCGAAAAAGCACAUAUGUUACCUGCUUCUGUAGACGGAAAAGAAGGCGGUGAUCAUCGAGAACGGAAGGAGCAUGGAGAUGCAAGAGAUCAAUGGCGGAAUCGAUAUCAUCGAAUUGCAAUAAACGUCUGAUUUGGGAGAAUCAGCACACGAUACUGAUAAGAAGAACAGGAACAUGAAGAUGGAGAUGAUGAAGAAGGUGAAGCAGGAGGAGAUGAAUCUUCGAUUAAGUUCUCUGAUUUGGCGAAUUUGAUGACCAUAAAAUCUAGGGCUUCCCCAUUUAUUGAGUGAGAUUGUCACACCUCGACCGACGGCGGAAACGCCGGGGUUGCGAUGUUUACAAUUGGAACCACUCAACCACAUAUAUUGAGCAUUCAUAAAUUAAUAUAUUAUGAACCUUGGUUUUGUAAACAUUAUUACAAUAUAGUAAUUAUUCAAAUACGAAACAUUAAAAUAGACCAAAUUCAUAAUAAUAAAGAAAACUAUGAUCUCCUUGAAACCGAUGGUUUACCUCCAACUUCUUAGUUACCUGAGAAUACACAUUUAAAAUACGUCAACAAAAUUUGUUGGUGAGUUCCACAGGUUUUGACUCCGUAAAUUUUAUAUAAAAUAAACAAAUAAAGUUUGGAGUAUUUGCAAAAAAGAAAUGUUUACCCAAAAAAAAAUAUUAAUAAUACAACCUUGUAGAAGUUUGUAUUAGUAUUUAGGUACCUAGGGUUUCAUGGAGUAAAUAACCGAGCUAUGACUUGUUCAAGCCUCUGUGAAGCACAAAAAGGUGCUUGUUGUCCCAAUGACGUUUCAUUGACGUCGUGAUAAAAGAAUUAGAUAAAGAAAACAAGAAGUUAUCGUCUGAUUUGUCUCGUCAUACGAAGGUUGUAGCUAGCAACCGCACAGACGGGGGUGUCAACCCGUAUAGAUCUAUACAAAACGUUCUUCGCUCACAAAGGAUUAACGGUUAUGACAGAGGACUUUACUAAGUUGGUUUUUCUUAGUUUGAUGAAUAAUAGACUCCCCCAACAAUCCCAAGUUUAGGUACCGGUUUACUAAUGACGAUGUUUGGAAACAUAAUGUCGUACGUUUACCAAUUUUAAAGGUAAAUUAAUAUUGUUUCCCUGACACUAUAAUAAUUUGAUCAUACAAAAUAUAAUGUACAUAUUAUUAUUAAUGAAUAAUAACGAGUAUAAACAUAACCAUAAAAAUAGUUUUGUUAAAGUUUAGUUUAGGUCGUGACAUAAUUAUAGUCAUAUAUAGUGGUAUGUUAAUAUAUUCACUUUUAUUCAUAAAACACCCACGAAAUUUUAUAGUAACAACAUAUUCAUCUAUAUAUAUAUAUANNNNNNNNNNNNNNNNNNNNNNNNNNNNNNNNNNNUAUAUAUAUAUAUGUAUAUUAAAUUGUAUAUGUAUGAAUAAUCUAUGUUUAUGUCAUGACCAAUAGGACAUAUGCAACUUUAACUGACAUCCAUUUGUGUAAAGAGUUUAGCGAUAUUAUUUUUAUACGUUAAUGAUUUAUGCACUUUAAAAUAAUAAUAAUAAUACAUGUAUAUCUUUAUGAAUCAUUAUAUAAAUUCUAGCAUGAGAUAAAUUAUGGUAUUUCUUUGUGACAUGUUCGAUAAUACGAUUUAAAAUAUAUAGAUUAGCAUAAAAUGGAAUAUUAAUCGAAAUAUAACAUAAAAUGCCAUUAAACGUAAAUAAGUGUUAGUAAGUUUAACUAGAACAAUUUGUCAUGUGUAUUCUCCCCCAUAAAUUAUUUAAAAGAUAAAAUGGGGCCGUAGAUACUCACUUUUGUCAUGUGACGGUAUUUGGUUCGAGGAAGCCGGGAUGUUUUCGGUUCCACCGAGGCUUGAAAUUUGAAUGCUUUUGGGGAAGUAUGUGGCUUGAAAAUCACAACAAUUAUAAAAAAAAGUAUACUUUGGCUAUUGUUUUGAAUAGUUAUUUUAGUGCAGCAAAUUAACUAACUUUUAGAGGUAUUUUAGGGUGAAAAUAUUAAGCAAAAAGAAUGUGAAAGGGGGCUGGAAUAGUAGUUGGAAAUGGAGGGAUAACACCCUCUUUUUGGCUUCUGUUUUGCUGUUUCAUAAAGUGAGGAAAAAUACAGAAUUUUGGCUGAGUUUUAAUGGCUAUUUGAGUGUAAUAUAGAGGACAUUUAGCUGCACUUGUAAGGAAGAAAUUGUAAGGGAGAAAUGAGGGGGAAGUAUCGACAUUUAUAGGGGAAAGAGGAAGGGUGAGAAGAUUGCUAAAUUUCUAUUAGAUCGUAUAGGAUAAAAUUUUUAUAUGAUUUUUUUUGUUUACCUUGCAAUUUGCAAGUUCCACCAGCCCACUUGCUAGUUCUACUUGCUUUUCAAAUGAUUUAGUUAGAAAAAUAAAUAAAUAAAAGGAUUGUGAGGGAGGAGAGGGUAACGAAUGGAAGGGGAAGCAAAAGAAAAGAUUUAAAUAUUGCAUCAGGUGAUUUCUUUCUUCUAACUUAUAGCCAUCCUAGCCUAUUUUAAAUUUUCUAUUCCCUUAUCUCUUUAGAUGUACACGAAUCAUGCUCCUGUAACUUCUUCAUGUUUGGCAUUUUUAUUUACUCAUUCUUUUAUUAAUUUAUUUUAUUUUUAUUGGAUGACAACUCAUAUAAAUAACAAUAGUGAUUACAUAUAUUUAUUAUUUAAAUACUUAUACUAGUGUGUAUGUUUAAUGGACGUUUAAAAUAUUUUUCAUUACUCCUUGUAUAAUACCGCAUCAUAUUUUUAUAAAAUAAUAGUAAUGUUUAUGGUCUAAAGCGCAAUUAUGUGCGUCUAAGUGUUUCAUAGAGAUGUUAUUUGUUUUCCAUCGUGUUUGUUCAUGAAUGACUUAAUUUAAUUAAAUUUCAAUUUCGUAUAUAAGUUCGUUGAUGGUAUCACUUCUAACCAUUGUAAGUAAGUUUACAAGAUCAACAUUUUCCGUUAUCUGGAGUCGUGUAAAUGUAAAAAUUUGAACAAAUAGUUUUUAUUCAAUUGUUUUCAUGGAACCGUUUUUAGUGAAGACAAUUUAUUAUAUAUAUAAAAAAAAGGUAGACUCCAUUAUUAGUGGUAAUCUUAGAUAUUUAGGAAAAUUUCUCAAGUUAUUAUCUAAAUUGCACCACAUUCUCUCCGAAUCCUUGGAUAAUACAAUAUUCGUUAUUAAAUAUCAAUAUAUAUUAUCUUACCAAAGUCUAUAUUUUUGCCAAUUGUUACAUGCUCCCCCCAUUAAAAGAAUUUCGUCCCGAAAUUCAACUUGUGGAUGGGGUAUCGUUAAACAAUUGGGGGUAUUUCUGUCUCAUAUGGUCUUCGCGUUCCUAAGUGAAUUCUGGUCCUCGAUGAGAGUUCCAGCGCACCUUCACGAUAGGAAUUCGACUAUGUUUUAAAUGCUUGACUUCUCGAUCCAUAAUCUCCACAGGUUCUUCAACGAAGUGGAGUUUUGUGUUCAGUUGAAUCUCUUUGAGAGGUAUUACAUUGGUAUCAUCUGACAGAUACUUCUUCAGGUUUGACACAUGAAAGACAUCAUUCACUUUGUCUAGUUCCUGAGGCAACUUUAUUCGAUAAGCAAUAGGACCAAUUUUGUCGAGAAUUUCAAAAGGUCCAAUGUAUCUUGGGUUUAACUUGCCCCUCUUGCCGAACUGAAUCAUAACUUUCCAUGGUGAGACUUUUAACAUCACUCGGCCCCCAACCUGGAAUUCUAGAGGUUUACGUCUCACGUCAGCAUAACUUUUCUGACGAUCACGUGCGACCUUAAGUCAAUCUUUAAUCUAAACUAUCUUUUCGGUCGUUUCGUGAAUUAUCUCUGGCCCAGUGCGCAGAGUGUCACCUGUGCGUUCUCGCGCCAAUUGCGUAUCUCCAACCUUUGUCCAACAUAUAGGCGAUCGACACUUGCGUCCGUACAAAGCUUCAAAUGGUGCAGUUUUGAUGCUGGUGUGAUAGCUAUUAUUAUAGGAGAACUCAAUCAAUGAUAGAUGAGUAUCCCAAGAGUUCCCAAAGUCUAUCACACAUAACCGAAGCAUAUCUUCCAAUGUUUGAAUGAUUCGUUCACUUUGACCAUCGGUCUGGGGAUGAUAAGUUGUCCUCAUAUCUAAGUGUGUUCCCAGGGAUUUUUGUAGUGAUUGCCAGAACCUAGAAGUGAAUCUACUAUCUCUAUCUGAGAUAAUAGAAAUUGGUACUCCAUGAAGUUUGCAAUUUCACUGAGAUACGUUCUUGUUAGCUUUUCCAUUUUGUCAGUUUCUUUGAUUGGUAGGAAAUGGGCAGACUUCGUUAACCUGUCAACCACCACCCAAAUAGUGUCGUAACCGUUAGAGGUAUUAGGUAGUUUGGUGAUAAAUUCCAUUGAAAUUUGUUCCUAUUUCCACUCGGGAAUCUUCGGUUGUUGUAUUAAUCCCGAGGGCUUUUGGUGCUCUGCCUUGACUUUUGAACAUGUCAUGCAUUUGCCCACAUAAGUGGCGAUCUCAGCUUUCAUAUUAGGCCACCAAUACAAUUUCUUCAGAUCCAUAUACAUCUUGUCAGAGCCAGGAUGUAUUGAAUAUCUUGAUCGGUGAGCUUCUUCCAAGACUAGGCUCCUGAUCUCACCAAACUUUGGUGUCCAGAUUCUGUUCAUGAAAUAACGGGUUCCAUCAUCCUUAAGCUCAAAAUUCUUAUCCAUUCCUCGUAAAGCUUCUCUCCCAACAUUCUCUUCUUUUGGGGCUUCCAAUUGUGCAUCCCAGAUUUAUGCAUUGAGGUUGGAAUGGAUGGUCAUAAUCAGUGCUUUUACUCGUCGGGGUUUCACACGUUCCUUAUGACUUAGGGCAUCCGCUACAACAUUUGCUUUUCCCGGAUGAUACCGAAUCUCGCAUUCGUAAUCGUUCAUUAACUCGAUCCAUCUCCUUUGCCUCAUAUUUAGUUCCUUUUGAUUGAAUAUGUGUUGGAGACUUUUAUGAUCAGUGUAAAUAAUGCACUUGGUUCCGUAGAGGUAGUGUCUCCAAAUCUUCAAGGCAAAUACUACUGCUCCCAACUCAAGGUCAGGGGUUGUGUAGUUGUUUUCGUGGAUUUUGAGUUGGCGAGAGGCAUAUGCAAUGACCUUGUCUCUCUGCAUUAAUACGCACCCCAAUCCCUGAAUUGACGCAUCGCAGUAUACUACGAAAUCUUCAGUUCCUUCAGGUAAGGAUAGGAUUGGUGCACUUCACAAUCUCCAUUUUAACUCCUGGAAUGCGACUUCCUACUUGUCUCCCCAAUUAAAUUUAGUUUCUUUAUGUGUUAGUGCAGUUAGGGGCUUUGCUAUUUUGGAGAAGUUUUCAAUAAAUCUCCUGUAGUAACCUGCAAGGCCUAAGAAUUGGCGCACUUCUGUUGGCGUCUUUGGUGUAUCCCAAUUCUUAAUUGCUUCAAUCUUUGCAGGAUCCACAUGUAUUCCUUUGUUACUCACUACAUGCCCAAGGAAGUGUACUUCUCUGAUCCAAAACUCGCAUUUGGAGAGUUUGGCGUACAAUUUUUCUUUCCUUAGCAGUUCCAAGAUUAAUUUCAAGUGUUGUCCGUGUUCUUCUUUGGUGCGAGAAUAGAUUAGAAUUUCAUCUAUGAAUACUAUCACAAAUUUAUCUAAGUAUUGCUUGCACACACGGUUCAUAAGGUCCAUGAAUACUGCUGGAGCAUUGGUUAAUCCGAAAGGCAUAACGAGAAACUCGUAAUGACCGUAUCGAAUCCUAAAUGCAGUCUUCAGAACAUCCUCCUCCACCACCUUCAGUUGAUGAUAUCUAGAUCUAAGAUCUAUCUUUGAAUAGUAAUUGGAUCCCUGAAAUUGAUCAAACAUGUCGUCUAUUCUGGGGAGUGGAUAACAGUUCUUGAUUGUUAAUUUGUUCAACUCCCAAUAGUCGAUGCACAUCCUGAAAGACCCAUCCUUCUUCUUGACAAAUAAGACCGGUGCUCCCCAAGGUGAGAAGCUCGGUCUAAUGAAACCUUUAUCAAGAAGUUCCUGCAGUUGGCUCGAAAGUUCUUGCAUCUCAGAAGGGGCCAAUCUGUAGGGGGAUUUUGCUACUGGUGCUGCUCCUGGAAUUAAGUCGAUUCUGAAUUCGACACUGCGGUCUGGUGGUAGUUCAGGAAGAUCUUCUGGAAACACGUCGGAAUAGUCACAUACUUGUGGUAUGUCUUUGAUUUCUUUCUUUUUGCUUUUCUUAUCUAUUACAUGCGCCAAGAAGGCAUAGUACUUCUUGUAUAGAUAGUUUUGAGCUUUGGUGCAAGAAAUAAGCUUUAAAUUCUGACCCGACUUGUCACCGUAGAUCGUCAUGGUCUCUCCGUUACUUACUGUUAGAUGUAUUGCCUUUUCAAAACAUAAAAUCUCGGCAUGGUGGAGAGACAACCAAUCCAUACCAAUAAUAAUGUCGAAGCUCCCAAUUGGCAUUGGCAUUAGAUUAACAUGAAACGUAUGGUCGUUUAGAGUUAGGAUACAAUCACGUAGGCUCUCAGUGGUGCUUUCAGUUUGACCGUUUGCUACUUCUACUUCAUAUGCUACCUCUAAUUUACUACACUCGUGAUUUAAUAGUUGUUUAAAUGAUGGGGUUAUAAAACUUCUAUCAGGAUCGGAGUCAAAGAGAAUCGUAGCAUAUAAGUUAUUAAUGAGAAACGUACCAGUAACCACCGAGGGAUCUUGUAUCGCAUCCCUAUUCCCAAUCACAAAAGCUCGACCACGAGCCUGGACACUUCCUUUCUUCAGUUUCGGUCAAUUCCGUUUGACAUGUCCUUUCUCUCCACAUUCGAAACAAGUUGCUCCUCCUCCUAACCCUGAUCCAGUGUCCCUAUCUUGUACUGCUGCAGCAAGUGUCGUGCCUCGACAAAAGUUUGCGGUAUGCCCUUUCUUGUUGCAUGCAGUACAGUGGAAACAUUAUCCAACAUGGUGUCGGUUGCAUUUGGUGCAUAGUGGUUUGUUUCCAGCAUAACUCUUAUGUUGGGUAUGAAUAGGGGCCGGAGUCACAACGUACACCUUUUCGAUAUGUUGUUUCUUCUAUUGACUCUGGCUUCUUUCAUUGAACUUGCGUUUGUGAUGAUUAUUUCCAGUUUUUGGGAUUUCAACCUUAGCUAUCAUCGUCCCUUGAUGAAUUUCAUUCUUAGUCAAUUGAAACGCUAGACGCUUAGCACUUAGAUAGGUUGUCGGCUUUGAUGAAAGAAGCAUCCCCUUAAUUUGAGGUGCUAGGCCCCAAAUGUAGCGUUCGACUUUCUUGCUUUCGGGGGUCACCAUUCCUUGGUAGAGAAGUGCAACGUCGUUAAACCUAGUUGUAUAUGCUUUGACUUCAGCACCUUCCAUUUUCAAGUUCCAUAGUUCGUGUUCUAACAUCUGCACCUCAUCUUAUGGACAAUAUUCUUCAAUUAACAGAACUUUAAAGUUCUCCCAAGACAUGGAGUUUGCAAUCGAAACUCCUAGAGUUUUUACGUGAUCGUUCCACCAAGUUAAGGAUCCAUCCAUCAGGGUACAUGCAGAAAACCGCACUUUGCUACCCUUAGGGCAGUAGCAGAUUUCGAAGACUCCUUCUGUCUUUUCAAUCCAACGAGUUAGACCGAUGACUCUCUUAUUUCCAUAAAAUUCUUCGGUUUACAAUUCAUGAAGUCCUUGUAUGAACAAGUACUUUGAGGUUCUUCAGGAUUUGAGUUGAGAGUGCUUUCGAGUCCGUUCCUGAGCCCAUUCACUUCCACGAUAGGCCUUCUAGAGUCUAGGUUUCUAGCAGUUGCCAAAGCGAUUGAGAGGCGUUCCGAUAUUAGUUGUUCCAAUUCUUCAGUGGUUUGGGGAAGCCCUGACUCAGGGGGUGGAGGCAUUGGUGUGUUAGAAGACGGUGUUUCUGCUACCGGGGUCACUAAUGGACUUGUUCGGCCUUUUCUGGGGCGUCCAGCUAUCGGUUGUACUAUUGCUUGUGGAGUUGGUACACUUGGGUUUAAACGAGUGCUCUUUGUUGGAGGCAUAUUGUCGUCCUAUAAUAGUCAGUAAGUUUGCGAUGUUAGUGUUAGCCAUUUUAAGAAUUUAUUUUGGAACAAUUAUUUUUGUUUGAUUUUUUUAUAGCAAUUGUUGUGUAUAAAAUGGUUCAUAUGAUAGUUUGACAAGGUUUUGAAACUAAAUACAUCAUAUAUUUCAUUUAAAACAUUAGUAUCCGUUUACAUCGGUCUUUACUUGUACAAAAUGUAAAGACCAUAGUUUUAGGGGUACAAAAGCCCUAACCUUUGUUAUAUUACAAGUGAAACAAACAAAACCUACGCAUGCUCACAUCACCUAACAUAUCCGAAGAGUUAUAUCAAAAUUUGCAAGUUUAACAACUUGCCCUGCCACAACCUGAUACUUCUUAUCACCAAAAAUUCAUCCAUUGGGCCACCGCAUUGGACAACUCAGUGUGCUUUGCAACCAGUUCUGCAUGGUCUGCUACAAGUGUUGCAUGCCUUUCUUCGAGUGCUACAUGCCUUUCUUCUAUUCUAUGUGCCAGAGAGAGCAAUAUCGUUUUGAUUCUCCAUAGCAGUCAUCCUUGAAUUGCAGUUCAUCCAAUUGCUAUGGUGAUAGUUCAUUUGUUGGUGGAGGUUAUCCAGUUCAAUCUGGUUUUGUUCUUGUUGUCUCCCUAUACGAAUCAUUCCUCCUCUGGUUUGUACUAUUUGUCCCUGUAUGGUGCUCAGUUCAUCACUGAUAUGCCAGACUUGUCCAUGCAAGCGGGUAUUUUCUUCGAAUAGAAGAGACAAGUCGUCAAUGUCCAUGGAAGAUGGAGGUGUCGUUCCCGACGCUUGACCUUUCUAGAAAUUUCCCGAGGCCUUCCAUUCGGAUAUCCACUUGUGUUGGGUCAAAAAUAUGGUUUAUACUUUGCUUUUCUAGGAAAAUAUAUUUUUAUGUAAUGUUGUAUGUGUUUGCGGUUUGUGUGUACGGCCGCACACCCUAUGUACGGCCGUACACAGGGUGUGCGGCUGUACACAUGUGUAUGGCUGGAGGUCCAUAUAAAUAGAGGAGUGCAUGUGGGUGUGUACGGUAAAAGGGUUAGAAGGUUAGAGAAGAGAGAUAAAGUUAGAGAGAAGUGUGUGUGUGUGAGAGAGAAUCUAUUGUAAGGUGCAUCACUCAUUCAUAUUGAAUACAUCAUAGAUUCAUCUUAAUUCUUCUUCUCCUUCUCUUCUAUUUGAUCUGACGUCAUCCAAUUGAUUGGGAUUCCGCACCAUCAAUUGGAUCUGAUUGAUACACAAGCAAUUUUGGGGACUUACAAUUGGUAUCAGAGCAAGGUUGUAUCAGUCAGUUUUGUCAGAUCUGGAGCUUAUUUGAUCUUAUUUUGAAAAGAUAAUAGCGUUUCUGGAUUGAUCUCGCAAAAAUAAGGGGGGUUACUUCUUUGCAUUUUUCAUAAAAACGAGUUUUUGAUCGAGUUUUGGAGCAAAAAAGGGUGAAAAACGUCGUUUUUUUUUCGCGAAUCUGUUGAAGGUGUGCGGCCAGACUUUGAAGGUUGAAGGUGUGCGGCCUCGGUGUGUGCGGCUGAGCAGCCUCAGUGUGCGGCCUUGGCCGUGUGCGGUUCAGCAUCUCGCAUCUGGAUCCUCGCUUCGCAGCUCUAGUCCUCGCUUCAGCCCUUUCAUAAAAAAUAGGAAACAUGUUUGAAGGUUGAAGGUGUGCGGCUGAGCAGCCUCAGUGUGCGGCCUUGGCCGUGUGCGGUUCAACAUCUCGCAUCUGGAUCCUCGCUUCGCAGCUCUAGUCCUCGCAUCAGCCCUUUCAUAAAAAAUAGGAAACAUGUUUGAAGGUGCCAGGGAUCGAACCCUAGACCUCCAGGUCUUUGCCCCAGCGCCUUACCAACUCGACUGGGAGGCUUCUUGUGUCUUACAUCCGAACUUUAGAAUAUAACUCAUCCUUUUCGCAUAUAAUUUCGCAAAUUGACAAUUUCAACCCAAAAAUCAAUUUUCUUUAUUUCUAAAUUCUAUUUUCAACCCAAAUUUUUUUAGUUAUUAAUUUUUGAUUUUAUUUUUAUCUUUGACCUUAAAAUUUUUGACUUUGACUUUUAAAAUUUGACCUUUGACUUUAAACAUUGACUUUCUCGUUUGACUUUUAAUUUUUCAAAUUUGGCUUUUCAGUUUGACUUUUUAAAUUUGACUUUUAAGGUUGACUUUAUCGGUUUUUAAGUCAAAGGGCAAUUAAAAAUAUAAAAAAAAUUAAAAAAUUAAAAAAGAAAAAAAAAAUGAGUUCCACAUCAAUUCCAGUAAAUGAAGUUUCAUGUACUCCAUCUUGUAAAGCUACGAUUAAAUUUCUUCACAAACAAAUUGAUUUGCUAAAAAGGGAAAAUGAGGACCUUAAAUAUGAAGGCUAUACUCUAAGGAAAUGCCAGAAACCGUUAAAAGCUCAAUUAGAAACCAAAAACAAGGAUUUCCGAAAACUCCAAGAAGAUUACAACAACAAGUGUGAAAAUUAUGAUCACAUUAAGAAAAAACUUGCUGCUGUAACUGAAGAACUUGACGCUUUGAAAAUAAAGUGUGGAAAAACAGAUGUUAGUUUCAAAAAUUACACUGCGUCAAGUAAGACAGUCGAGUCCUUAUUUGAAAAUCAAUUGAAAUUCAAAGAUAAUCAAAACAAGGGUCUAGGGUAUGAUAGUGUUCCUCCCCCUUUCAAUCAUAACUAUAUAUCCAUACCUUUGACUCAGGAAAAGAUUGACCGAGAAUCAUUUAUGGUAUACGGUAAACCAGUUGUUGAACAGGCAACUGAGUGUGUUGAGUUGAACGAUACUAAUGCUUCUACUUCAUGUGCAGGUAAAGUAGCAGAGGAUAAGAACAAGGAGAACACUAUUGAACACACCAACAUCUCCUUAAACUCUGAAUCUGUUGCUUCGAACUCAGCUGCUUCUGAUCAACCUAUUGUUGGUAUAUACAGGCCACCAAUUCCAACGCAACUGAGUUCUUGUUGCAAGUGUGCAUGUGGGAAAAGCAAGAGACAAGGCAAAGACACGCCACCAGGGGCAGGAAGAAACAACUCCACAUUGAAGAAAAAGACAUGCUUUCACUGUGGAACACCUGGACACAUUGCCAUAAAUUGUCCAAAUCGCGCAUAUGUUCCCUACUACGCACAUGGCUGGCAGAAAACACCAAGAGGAAGAUACUCCAAAAAAAACCCCUCAAGGCCACAUUUAGAAAAUAGCGACCGGAAUGCCACGAAGGCCAAAAAUCAACCCCACAAGGCCAAUAAAUCAACUCCCAAGGUCAAGAAGGGAAUGUCGGCCAAGAAGCCAAAUCCAAGAGAUGCUCCCGUGAAGCCAAAAUCAAAGUCAUCUCGACGAUCGGCUUCAAGUUCAAAAUCAAGUGCCGAGGUACCCAUCCGCUCGAAAAAGAAAUGGGUUAAACCCAACUACAGAUGGGUACCGAAGGUGCAAUCUCCCAAAUCAUCUAAUGCUUCUAAUAUUCUACAUUUUCUGUUUGUGAUAAACAGGAUAUGUCAUGGGAGAGAGUACCGUGCAAGGAUGACAGGUCAACCCAGUUUCAAAAUGGACUGGGUUCCAAAGACCAACUGAUCCCGCUCUGUGUUGGAGCAGCUAUGGAGGCAUAUCAUUAGACUUCGGUUUGUUGGUAGUGGCUGUUCCUGGCACUUGGUAGGGGACAUCUCUCAACUGUACAACAUUCAGACAUUUGUUUGAGAGUAUGUGUCCUUUGCGGGAAGGGAAGAAAGGAAGUGAUCAGUCUCGGGGUUUAUGCUUAAUGACAUGAAGAAUUUUCGGAUCUGUUUUGAGAUUAUUCGUGCUGUUCUUAGACCUUCUGGAUGCAAAUUCAAUUGGUGACUUACGGUUUGAGUUUUCUUCUCUAUACUCCUGUGUUUAUCUUAAGCUGAUUCGCUUUAAAGACUAAUUUUUGUUUUAGGAUAGUUUAAAUUUGCGCAUUUACUUUCGUUUCUCUCAUAUGCACAAAUUUAGGGGGAGAAAUAAAAACAAAACAAAAAUUAGAAAAUUUUAAAAAUCCAAAAACAUUAGAGAAUCAGAUAAUCAAAAAAAAAAAUGUUGGUUAUGAAAUGUGCUGCUNGGAGAUGUUUUGGGAAGUGAUAUUAUCAAGUGAUAACAGGCAAUCUGAGUCUGCGUAACGUACCCAAAGUUGAAGGGUCUAUGCUCUGGUUUGAUGCAUCAGUAGGCACGAAAGAUUCUAAAUUGACAUGACUAGGCAGAGGUGAACUUAAGAAAUCAAAUUACUUGACAAAUAUUGACUUAGUUAGAUCCGUUUAGCCUGACAAUAUGACGCUCGGAUAGGUUGAGCAGGGAAAUAUAUAUGGGAAUCUACUUGUCACAUUAAUUGAACCCGUAUCUGGAACCGUGGUUUAACUUUUCCUCGAUGUGCGGAUUCUGUCCUUAAUUCCGGUUGGAUGGGGCGACUAGUAAAUUCCGAUAAAUUAGGUCUGUAGAAUAUCAUUUUCUUUCUUUCCGUCUGUUAGUCAUAUGUUGUCUCCUUUGCGUGACUUCCAAUCCGACCUGGUACACAACAUAUGCAACUCUAUUUCUCUGCAGGAUAUAUAUGUGAAAUUCCUCUUAUCUGUUAGCCAUAUGCUGUCUCCUUUAACAAUCCGACCUGGUACACAGCAUAUGCACUAUAAGUGAUAAUACUCUGAAUCUAUCUUCUCCCUUAAUGAUGGUCUACUCGACCAGACAAAGACGUGAAGAUGGAAGGUACCGACAAGCGGAUAAAGGCUAUCUAAAAACUUUGAUCCCAAAUCAUUCUCAAAGUUAGAUAUUUUCACACCCCGAAAACCCAAGGUGGAAACGUUUUCGGGGCGGACUCCACGUUGAGUAUCAUAACCAAUGUACAUAGUAACACAGUAAACACAAAACAUUACAUUACAUAGAAUUGUUUACAUCUGUUUAAAAGUAAACUUAUACAAUUUUUAUACACAUAUAUCAUAUGAACAAAAGUAAAGUCGAGUCUUCUAACACUCCUUCUUCUCCAAAAGAUCGCGAGUACCUGUCUAAUGCUGACCAGAGAAUACAAGCAGUUUGAAAAUCAGCGUAAAGCUGGUGAGUUCAUAAGCGGUUUAAUUUUGAAAAGAUUGAGUUUCCUUUGGUUUUUCUGAAAAAGUUGUUAUCCAAGAAAAUCCUAUAUUUUCUUAUGAGAACAUUUUAGUUAUCUUUCGAUACACAAUUUCAUUUAUGAGUAGAUAUGUUGUUCCAGGAAAAUCCCAUAUUUUCCUAUUAGUUUAGUUUUCCAUUCGUUACACCAUUUGUUUACGGGUCAUUAUGUUAUUCCAGGAAAAUCCCAUAUUUUCCUAAAUGUUGCGGUUAGUUCUUAGUUCGGAUUUCGAUGUACUAGUAUCUACCAUACUUAUAGUAUUAGCUAGGUAUUCUUACAUUCGAAUGUCGAUUAUCUACUAUACUUUGUUGUAUUUUCGAAUAUUUGGAUACAAUCAGAAACGUACAUUAACAGUAUUUUCGAUGUUCUGGUGAUUUCCAAAAGAGUACAUUAGACGUAUCUUCGAAACUCUGUCGACAUCCAAAGGCGUAUGUUUUCGAAACUUUGUAGAUGUCCAGAGGCGUACUUUCGAAUUAAUUUCAAAACUCUGGUGACACUCAAGGCGUACAUUAACUGUAUAUUCGAAGUCUUGGCGUCAUCCAAAGGCGUGCUUUCGUAUUCAUAUUCGUAUUCCUAUUUUCAUAUUCGUAUUCGUAUUCGUAUUUAUAUACCUAUUCCUAUUUGUAUUUGUAUUCGUAUUCGUAUUCACAUUCAUAUUCGUUUUUGUUUUCAUAUUCGUAUUCGUAUACCUAUUCAUAAUCGUAUUCGUAUUCUUAUUCACAUUCGUAUUCGUAUUUUAUUAGUAUUAAUCUUAGUUUAUGAUUAGUAUGAUUUCUUUUGCAAAAUGUAAUAUAGUUUAUAACACUUCUUAAAGAAAUCUGCAUUAAGUCUAGCAGUUUACUCUGCAAUUCGAACCAUUGGUUAACACGAUUUUCGAUAUUAAAAGCAUACAUAAACUGAAACAUUUGAGCUGAAAAUAAGUUUAAGUACAAGAUUUCCUUGUACUUAUGUUUGUAUUCCCCCUUGAAAACAUUUGAAAAACACAGAAAAAGGGUAGGGGUAUGAACUAACCGGUUGAGGAACGCGUCGGUUUGGAUCCUAAACGUCAGUUCUGGGUUUGUAAAUGCACAAGAUUCCUAUGUAAUAUGAAAAGAUACACAUUUAUAUCUAAUUAGGAUUUGAACCACUAAUUAGUUGAGGACAUACACUUCUAGUUGCGAAAACACUUCAUUACAAUUGUUUGGAGGGACCCGGGUGACAUUUAUGGACACAUAUAGCUUGGAUAUGGAGUUUACUCUUCAAGAGUAAACUCAAACAAGAUUUUUCGGCCCUAAUGACCCACUCCCCAUGAGUUUACGGCCGUAAACUCAAGGUGGGGGUGCUCUAGAGUGCUAAAUGGCCUUGAAUCAAUUGAGGGGUAAUUCUAGGUUUGGUUUCAAGGCAUGGGAUAGUAGUUUGGGCAUCUUAGGGACCAUUUGAUGAGUUUACGGCCAUAAAAUCUUGUAUACAUAUUCAAAGUGUGUUUUGGUGGUCCUUAGUCAAUCACAUGUGAUUUCAAGCCAUUUUACAAGCCAAAGGGUGAAGUUUGGGCACCAUUUGACCAUGAUUUAGGAGUUUACGGCCCAGGAACCCAUCCUUUGAGGGUUCACGGCCGUGAACUCCUUAAGGAGUUGUUUUCAUCAAGUUUAAGGCCCCUAAAUUGAUUGUGGUUGAUUCUAGAAUUUAAUCCAAGGCUAUUGGUGUGUUUAAAUGGCAUUUAAACGCUUGGAAAUGAGUUUACUCUCCAUGAGAAUGAGUUUACGGCCGAAGCAUGUUCUUGGGCAGUAAACUCAUGUUUACUCCUCAAAAGUUAAGUUUAAGGUGUUCUAAGUCCGUUCCAUUAAGCCAUCUAGCCAUAUCCAAGCUCCAAAGGUCGAUUGGAAGGGUUUUUGGGCUCCAAAACCCAUUUUAUAUGAGUUCACGGCCUAGAACUGUUCUAGGGCCGUAAACUCAUGAUAAUGUUCCUAUUCCAUAGUUUGACCAUGAAUUUGGAAGCUAGAGAGGUUGUACAACAAGUUAGGAAGGUUACCUUGAUUAAAUGGAGCUUUAAUUUGAUGAUUUUGGACCUUAAGUUUGGAUUGAGGAGAGAGGUUAGAGAGAGAGUGCAAAAGCUUCAAAUGGAAGCUUAAUCCACUUUAAAUAUGUUCCAAGAUCGGGACACGGUGGAAUUCUACCCGAUACCGAUGUUAGACGUGGCUUUUGGUCGCACCCGAUUAAGUUGUCGUAACCCGGCGGGAUCGAUUCUAUAAAUUUUCAAAUUAAUAUUUUGGGCCGUUUACAUGAGUUUCUAAGGAGUUUGGACACUCGUGAGUUUAUAAUAAACAUAUAAAUUUAAUUAACUUAGCCCAAAAACGAGAUCAGACCGAUUCACAAAAGACGGUUUUUACGGGUGAAAUGGGUUACGUCGAUGGACGACUUCGGGUUGUCACAUUAUCCCCUCGUUAGAGGGAAUUUCGUCCCAAAAUUCAAAGAUUAAGAUACAAAUCAUGAAUUGAAAAAGAGAUAUGGAUGAAUCUACUGCUUCGGGUCUUCAUGCUCCCAAGUGGAAUCGGGUCUCCGCUUGACAUUCCAGCGAACCCUCACUAUCGGGAUGCGGCUUUGUUUCAUACAUUUGAUCCCUUGAUCCAUGAUCUGAAUUUGUUCUUUCAUGGGGGUUCAGUAUUUUAUUGAUUUCGGUAUCAUCAAAGGGAUUACUAGGGUUUCGUUGGGCAGGCGCUUCUAAAGAUUCAAGACGUGGAAGACAGGAUGGAUACUACUAAGUCCUUGAGAUAGUCGAAGUUUGUAGUUCACGGUUCCGAUUUUAGGCGGGGAUUUGGAAAAGUCCAAUGUAUCACAGGUGAUGGUUUCCGCACUUACCAAAGCAUAUCAUGCCAUUCUGGGAUAAGGCCUUCAACAGGACACAAGCUCCAACAAGAAGGUACAUCUUCAUGUAGCAGCGUAGCUAAGGGUCUGAUGGUUCUAAAAGAAAUUUCUGGGUGGUUCUGCGAUAAUAGUCGACGGAACCCAAGAAUUGACAGGUUUCUAUGGAUAUCUCCGGUGCCAACUAAUUUCCUAUCGCCUUAGUUUUUGGAAAGGUCCACGGGUAUGACUGCUUUGCUUACUACAUGACCAGGGAAAAUGGUUUGACCGAAGGGCACCACUACCAACUCGUAGUGACCAUACCAAACCCUGGUCGCUGUCUCGAACACAUCAUCCACAUGGAGGUUUGGCUACGAGGUAGUUCCAUGGAUUAGGUCGAUGCGAUACUCGACUAAACGUUCGGAAGGAAUUCUCGGGAAAUCUUCGGGAAAGACAUCAAGGAAAGAGUUGCAGACUUCUCGUUUCCCGAUGAUUACACAGACGAGGAAUGCAUGGCACUCCUUUCAGGAAAACUUUUUAAGCUUUGAUGCACGAAGAUUAUGAGAAUUAGCUCAGAGGAAAGAUUUAGACGGACGACCUUUUUGAAACCAAGAAUAACAACAUGAAUGAGACCCGGUCAUUACAUGCCAAUAAUAGCAUCAAAGCAUUUCAUGAAAAGUUUGCCAUUUGAUCGAAUGGAAAAGAAUAAUUGUCCGGAUUAAGGAUACAACCUAUGGUUAUGACGUUAGCGUUCUCUUUCUCAUUUGUUAAUCAUCUUGAAAGUACACUUUUCGGUUACUAACGAAGGAUUAAGUUUAGAAAGGUGUUUGAAUGGAUAGUUAGCAAAUUUCUUUUAGCAUUAGAAUCGAAAAGGGAUUACAGGUAUAAGAUUCAUCGAGGAGGAAUAUACCUGUGGCAACGGUGGGGUCGGUGGCUGCCGCUCCUUGUCCCAUAGCUAGGAAUCUCCCGGUGUUGCCAGAUGUUAUUGUCUUACGGCAGUUUCGCUUGUAAUGUCCGACUUCCCCACAACUGUAACAGGUCUGACCGAUACUCGCUCCGGAAGCUUGACUAGUUGAUUGGGUUGGUGUUUUGCAGCUUCGCGCGAGGUGACCUUCUUGGCCACAGUUCUUACAAAACUUUUCACGACAAGGGCCAAGGAUACGAUGGUGGUAACUGCACCGGUUACACCAGGGGAGGAUAUCGACAUAUCCGGUGAUAGGUGCUUGAGCUGAGGAACCGACAACAGAUACAACAGCAAGGGUAGUGGCAGCGUGGAUUGCCACUAUCUGUUGUUUCUUCAAGGACUCCGGAGAAGACCGACUCUUCUUCUUCUUCUUCCAAAACUUUCUUUUCUCAUCACUCUUCUCUGUCGACUCGGAAGUGGUGUCCGCUUCCUCUGGGUCAUCGCUAUGGUCGAUCAAGGUUUGCGCUAGGCAUUUGGCGCUGUCAUAGGUAUCCGGCUUCGCAGCCAAAACGUUCCCUUUGGUUGGCUUGGUCAAUCCCUAGAUGAACCUUGCAAUCUUUUUACUCUCCGGGGUAACCAAUCCCGGACAGAGAAGUGCCAAGUCAUCAAAUCUGGAUGUGUAGGCGGCGAUAUUGGAACCCUUCAUCUUCAAGUUCCAAAGUUCAUUCUCUAGCUUCUGUAUUUCACCCCGAGGGCAGUAUUCUGUGAACAGAAGUUCCUUCAUAACUUCCCAACCCAUAGCAUUUGCUACAGGUAAAGUUAAGGAUUUGAUUCGGCCGUUCCACCAAGUCAGAGCUUUAUCGGUGAAUGUGCAGGCGACGAAUUUCACCUUAUCGGAUUUUGAGCAGGCACAAAUCUCAAAGAUAGACUCGAUUUUCUCUAACCAUCGAGUUAGAGCAAUGACACCCCUUAUGCCAUCGAAGAAUGUGGGUUUUGCGUUCAUAAAGUCUUUAUAGGAACACUCCUUCCGGUGUCCCUGAUUACCUUCCUGGUUUUGGGUUUGGGGACCACCUCCUGAACCACCGGGGUUCAUGUNNNNNNNNNNNNNNNNNCAGCUGCUUCGAAUACGACAUGAUCAAAUUGAGGAGGAGGUGGUGGUGGCGGAGGGUUGUUAUUCUUUGAGCUGGGUCUUUUUCUUGGAGGCAUCUUGAUCUAAUAAGAUCAGGAAAGAGAGGAUGGUAAGUCCUCUGAAUUGAAUCAAAAGUUAUCACAUGUAUAUAUUCCGAAUAAGCAAUAAAGCAGGAAAAGGGUUAUCAAAGCAGAUAAAUUAUCGCUAAAGGAAUGAUCAAGGAACAACGCUUGAAUGAGGAUUUCUACAACGGAUUGGCUCAAGAAAUACUCCCAUAGUAUUUCAUGGUUCGCUAUGACACUGGCUCGAUGUUUGUGGUAUUUGGGUAAGUUUUAGGCAUGCUGCAUACCACAGUCACUCCCAAGCACAUGUUGGCCAUGUCUCGAAUGAAUAUAGUUGGCCAGGCUAUAUUGAUCCUAGACACGAAUACAUAAUUGCCCAUGUUUUAACGCUGCAUAAAACACCCAUUUACUUAUGUUCUGUUCUACUUGUAGUUACGGAUCUCGACGGUUGGAUAUACUUGUGUACUUUUGAAAAUACUUUUAUUUUAAGGUAUACUUUUAGUUCAGAGCACUUAGGCCCCUUAGUGUUUAUAGUCUUAUACCAUGUAAGCUUUGGUAUACUAGUUCACUAUAAACAAGGGCUCUGAUACCAAUCUGUCACACCCCGAAAACCCAACGCGGAAACAUUUCCAGGGCGGACUCCACGUUGAGUAUCAUAACCAAUGUAUAUAGUAACACAGUAAACACAAAACAUUACAUUACAUAGAAUUGUUUACAUCUAUUUGAAAGUAAACUUAUACAAUUGUUAUACACAUAUAUCAUAUGAACAAAAGUAAAGUCGAGUCUUCUAACGCUCCGUCUUCUCCAAAAGAUCGCGGGUACCUGUCUAAUGCUGACCUGAGAAUACAAGCAGUUUGAAAAUCAGCAUAAAGCUGGUGAGUUCAUAAGCGGUUUAAUUUUGAAAAGAUCGAGUUUCCUUUGGUNGUUAUCCAAGAAAAUCCUAUAUUUUCUUAUGAGAACAUUUUAGUUAUCUUUCGAUACACAAUUUCAUUUAUGAGUAGAUAUGUUGUUCCAGGAAAAUCCCAUAUUUUCCUAUUAGUUUAGUUUUCCAUUCGUUACACCAUUUGUUUACAGGUCAUUAUGUUAUUCCAGGAAAAUCCCAUAUUUUCCUAAAUGUUGCGGUUAGUUCUUAGUUUGGAUUUCGAUGUACUAGUAUCUACCAUACUUAUAGUAUUAGCUAGGUAUUCUGACAUCUUAGUUACCCUACAUUCGAAUGUCGAUUAUCUACUAUACUUUGUUGUAUUUUCGAAUAUUUGGAUACACUCAGAAACGUACAUUAACAGUAUUUUCAAUGUUCUGGUGAUUUCCAAAAGAGUACAUUAGACUUAUCUUCGAAACUCUGUCGACAUCCAAAGGCGUAUGUUUUCGAAACUUUGUAGAUGUCCAGAGGCGUACUUUCGAAUUGAUUUCGAAACUCUGGUGACACUCAAGGCGUACAUUAGCUGUAUAUUCGAAGUCUUGGCGUCAUCCAAAGGCGUGCUUUCGUAUUCGUAUUCCUAUUCCUAUUCGCAUUCGUAUUCGUAUACCUAUUCCUAUUUGUAUUCGUAUUCGUAUUCGUAUUCACAUUCGUAUUCAUUUUCGUUUUCGUAUUCGUAUUCACAUUCGUAUUCGUAUUCGUAUUCGUAUACCUAUUCGUAAUCGUAUUCAUAUUCGUAUUCGUAUUCACAUUCGUAUUCGUAUUUUAUUAGUAUUAAUCUUAGUUUAUGAUUAGUAUGAUUUCUUUUGCAAAAUGUAAUAUAGUUUAUAACACUUUUUAAAGAAAUCCGCAUUAAGUCUAACAGUUUACUCUGCAAUUCGAACCAUUGGUUAACACGAUUUUCGAUAUUAAAAGAAUACAUAAAAUGAAACAUUUGUGCUGAAAAUAAGUUUAAGUACAAGAUUCCUUGUACUUUUGCUUGUAUUCCCCCCAGAAAACAUUUGAAAAACACGGAAAAAGGGUAGGGGUAUGAACUCACCGGUUGAGGAACGCGUCGGUUUGGAUCCUAAACGUUAGUUCUGGGUUUGCAAUUGCACAAGAUUCCUAUGUAAUAUGAAAAGAUACACAUUUGUAUCUAAUUAGGAUUUGAACCACUAAUUAGUUGAGGACAUACACUUCUAGUUGCGAAAACACUUCAUUACAAGUGUUUGGAGGGACCCGGGUGACAUUUAUGGACACAUAUAGCUUAGAUAUGGAGUUUACUCUUCAAGAGUAAAAUCAAACAAAAGUUUUCGGCCCUAAUGACCCACUCCCCAUGAGUUUACGGCCGUAAACUCAAGGUGGGGGUGCUCUAGAGUGCUAAAUGGCCUUGAAUCAAUUGAAGGGUAAUUCUAGGUUUGGUUUCAAGGCAUGGGAUAGUAGUUUGGGCAUCUUAGGGACCAUUUGAUGAGUUUACGACAGUAAACUAUGUGUUUAUGGCUGUAAACUCUUGUAUACAUAUUCAAAGUGUGUUUUGGUGGUCCUUAGUCAAUCACAUGUGAUUUCAAGCCAUUUUACAAGCCAAGGGGUGAAGUUUAGGCACCAUUUGACCAUGAUUUACGAGUUUACGGACCAGGAACCCAUCCUUGGAGGGUUUACGGCCAUGAACUCCUUAGGGAGUUGUUUUCAUCAAGUUUAAGGCCCCUAAAUCGAUUGUGGUUGAUUCUAGAAUUUAAUCCAAGGCAAGUGGUGUGUUUAAAUGGCAUUUAAACACUUGGAAAUGAGUUUACUCUCCAUGAUAAUGAGUUUACGGACGAAGCAUGUUCUUGGGCAGUAAACUCAUGUUUACUCCUCAAAAUUUAAGUUUAAGGUGUUAUAAGUCCGUUCCAUUAAGCCAUCUAGCCAUAUCUAAGCUCUAAAGGUCGAUUGGAAGGGUUUUUGGGCUCCAAAACCCAUUUUAUAUGAGUUCACGGCCUAGAACUGUUCUAGGGCCGUAAACUCAUGAUAAUGGUCCUAUUCCAUAGUUUGACCACGAAUUUGGAAGCUAGAGAGGUUGUACAACAAGUUAGGAAGGUUACCUUGAUGAAAUGGAGCUUUAAUUUGAUGAUUUUGGACCUUAAGUUUGGAUUGAGCAGAGAGGUUAGAGAGAGAGUAGUGAGAGAGUGCAAAAGCUUCAAAUGGAAGCUUAAUCCACUUUAAAUAUGUUCCAAGAUCGGGACACGGUGGAAUUCUACCCGAUACCGAUGUUAGACGUGGCUUUUGGUCGCACCCGAUUAAGUUGUCGUAACCCGGCGGGACCGAUUCUAAAAAUUUUCAAAUUAAUAUUUUGGGCCGUUUACAUGAGUUUCUAAGGAGUUUGGACACUCGUGAGAUUAUAAUAAACAUAUAAAUUUAAUUAACUUAGCCCAAAAACGAGAUUGGAUCGAUUCGCAAAAGAUGGGUUUUACGGGUGAAAUGGGUUACGUCGAUGGACAACUUCGGGUUGUCACAUAUAUCAUUUUAUUAAAUUUGUUCAUAGUUUUCCUCUAUGCUCAAAUUUUAGGGGGAGAAUUAAAAAUAAAUCAAAAAUAAAAAAAAAUCAGAAAAAUUCAAAAAUCAAACAAAAAAAUAGAAAAUUAAAAAAAAGUGUUAUUUCUGUUUUAUUUUUCCAGAAAAUAUCAAAAAUCCAAAAAUAUUUUUUUGUGUGUGCUAAUUUUUAUUUUAGUUUUGUUUUGUCUUGAAAAGUGAUUUCAGGCGUAGAUGAGACUCGUGGAGAUUGUAUUGAAGAUCUUCUGAGCCAAGGCUUCAUUCGUGAGCAUCGAAGAAUUCUCAUUCGAAGGAACAUGAAAUGAAGAUUAUUCUUUCAACAUUUAAUUUGUCAACCCCAGAAGCAAGGUGAAGCUGAAAUUGAAGAUUAUGUGACGGAUUGCAUUGAAGCCUCCUCAAUCAGUCUGCUGCUAUCUUAAACCUGCUGAAGUGAUCCAGUAGAUUAUUUCUCUCCGUUGUUCUCUCUGAAGAUUCUCAAGCUGAAAGCGCUAUCUUUCAAGAAUCUCUACAAGAAGCCUCCUCACCCAAUGUACAAUCUUGAAGAAAAGCCCAACCGCUCGAGAUGAAGUCAUUCAUGAAGAUUCAUCAAGUUCAUCUUGAAGCUGUGAAGAAAUCAAAGAUUAAAGCUGAAGCCAAAGCUCCCAUUGAAGAUUGACAAGAAAAGCCAGCUACUUUUUAGGGGGAGCUUGUUGGGCCAAUUAGAAAAGAAAGCUAUAAACCAAGGGGGAGAUUGUUGGGUCAAAAAUAUGGUUUAUACUUUGCUUUUCUAGGAAAAUAUAUUUUUAUGUAAUGUUGUAUGUGUUUGCGGUUUGUGUGUACGGCUGUACACGUGUGUACGGCCGCACACCCUGUGUACGGCCGUACACAGGGUGUGCGGAUGUACACAUGUGUAUGGCUAGAGGUCCAUAUAAAUAGAGGAGUGCAUGUGGGUGUGUACGGUAAGAGGGUUAGAAGGUUAGAGAAGAGAGAGAAAGUUAGAGAGAAGAAGUGUGUGUGAGAGAGAAUCUAUUGUAAGGAGCAUCACUCAUUCAUAUUGAAUACAUCAUAGAUUCACCUUAAUUCUUCUUCUCCUUCUCUUCUAUUUGAUCUGACAUCAUACAAUUGAUUGGGAUUCCGCACCAUCAAUUGGAUCUGAUUGAUACACAAGCAAUUUUGGGGACUUACAACUUGUUCACCUUGUUGCUCUCCCAGGCAGGUCGAUCUAUCCUCUUUUGGGUGUGGGAAAACCUCUUGCUUUGCCUCAGCUUUUUGGGUCUUCGAUCUGGGACUAACAUCCUGGCAGUUCUCCUGGGACAUCGACUUGGAGCUGCAGUGAAAGAGUGAAUUAGGGUGGAUGGAGGUGUGACAGAAGAUUCUGAUUCAUUUAUCAUGAUCACUUCGUCAUUAUCUUCCACAUCCAUAUUUUCCUCGGGCUCUUCCUCAGGAUCCUCUUCCAUGUCCUCCUCCGGGUCUUCUAAGGGAUCCUCUUCCAUGUCCUCCUCAGGAUUUUCUUCGAUCUCGAUUUCCUCCUGUUGUAUCGGUGCCUCCUUGACCGGUGGGAUAGGGUUGUAUGCUACAGGGAGCUCGGGGUAGUAUGGAUCUCCAGGGAUUACGGGAAGCACGGGUUGGUUUGCUGGGGGUUGAACCAACAUCCAUAGUUUGUCCAUCUAGAAUGGAUUUUAAGGAAAAUAUUAGAACCCAAAGUACAUCGAUAAAUAUAAUUUUUUUUUAAUUAUUUAUCUGGUUCUAUCACUUAUUUGUGUUUAUUGACUGGUUUUAGUUUCCUUAAAACUUCAAGAUUUUAGUUUAUCAAUUAUUUCAUUUAGGUUGGAUAAUGCAUAAGGCCCGAUCAUAAUAAAACUUAGGUGCGCAAGCUAGGUCUAGUUGUGAUAAAGCAUAUGUAUUAUGAAACCUAUUUGAUUAAUUGGUCCAAAUUCUUGUGUUUUAAGUUUUUAUAUAAUUUUUUAUACACAUAGAUGAGUUUUUAUAAAAAUAAAUAAAUAUUAAUUUAUGUUUAAUAAAACUCUAUUUUCAAGUUUUUGCAGAAUAGUGGUAUAUCUAUACCUACUAGAGUAAGCCCAAGACUAUAGUUGUAUUUUUUUAGGAAAAAUACUUAGUUCUCUAUAGUCGUUAUCUCUGAUAUCAAUCUGUCACACCCUGACCGACGGCGGAAACACCGGGGUUGCGACGUUUACAAUUGGAACCAUAGUCAACCACAUAUACUGAACAUUCAUAAAUUAAUAUAUUGCGAACCUUGGUUUUGUAAACAUUAUUACAAUAUAGUAAUUAUUCAAAUACGAAACAUUAAAAUAGACCUAAUUCAUAAUAAUAAAGAAAACUACAAUCUCCUUGAAAUCGAUGGUUUACCUCCAACUUCUUAGUUACCUGAGAAUACACAUUUAAAAUACGUCAACAAAAUUUGUUGGUGAGUUCCACAGGUUUUGACUCCGUAAAAUUUAUAUAAAAUAAACAGAUAAAGUUUGGAGUAUUUGCAAAAAAAGAAAUGUUUAACCAAAAAAAAAUAUUAGUAGUACAACCUUGUAGAAGUUUGUAUUAUUAUUUAGGUAUCUAGGGUUUGGUGGAGCAAAUAACCGAGCUAUGACUUGUUCAAGCCUCUGUGAAGCACAAAAAGGUGCUUGUUGUCCCAACGCCGUUUCAUAGACGUCGUGAUAAAAGAAUUAGAUAAAGAAAACAAGAAGUUAUUGUUUGAUUUGUCUCGUCAUACGAAGGUUGUAGCUAGCAACCGCACAAACGGGGGUGUCAACCCAUAUAGAUCUAUACAAAACGUUCUUCGCUCACAAAGGAUUAACGGUUAUGACAGAGGACUUUACUAAGUUGUUUUUUCUUAGUUUGAUGAAUAAUAGACUCCCCCAACAAUCCCAAGUUUAGGUACCGGUUUACUAAUGAUGAUGUUUGGAAACAUAAUGUCAUAUGUAUACCAAUUUUAAAGGUAAAUUAAUAUUGUUUCCCUGACACAAUAAUAACUUGAUCAUACAAAAUAUAAUGUACAUAUUAUUAUUAAUGAAUAAUAACCCUUUUUAAAAUUUAUUAUCGAGUCAACACUUUAGAAAACGAUUGUAAUUAAAACAUUGUCUGAUCAAACCAUUUCAUAACAUACAUCGUGUCUGAAAACCGAAACAUGAAAAACAAUCAACUAUCAGAGUACAAAAUCCCAGAAUGACUCAUGGUGCGGAAAACAAGGUGUGUGUAUGAUGUGCCGCUACCGCGCUAGCUCCUUCCCUCUUGAAGAAGAGGUACCUGAAAACAAAACUGCAAACCGUAAGCACGAAUCUUAGUGAGUUCCCCCAUAAUACCUCAUACCAUACAAACAUACAAUGAACAUCUAGGAGAUAAGGGCCUCGCCCACACUCAUGAAGAUACGGGCCUCGCCCACACUCCGCUAGCUGGAAGAUACGGGCCUCGCCUACACUCCAGUAUCUGGGAGAUACGGGCCUCGCCCACACUCCGCUAGCUGGAAGAUACGGGCCUCGCCUACACUCCAGUAUCUGGGAGAUACGGGCCUCGCCCACACUCCACUAUCAGAGAGAUACGGGCCUUGCCCACACUCAGCUGCUAAACCAUAACAUACAAGUACCACAUAGACACUGAGUAUAAACAAUUCUAUCAUAUUGGCAUAUAUCAUAAUCAACCUCAACUAUGAGAUACGGGCCCUGCCCACACUCCGUCACUAACGUAUCGUCUAUACGGGUCGACCUUGGUGCCUUAGGCCCGUUACUACUGGAAGGAAACUCACCUCGAAAAGUAGCUACCGAAAGUCUGACUGCUAGACAUCUGGCUGCCGUAUUGGUAAUCCUCCGGCUACAAAUUCUUAAACAUAGAUUAUCCACUCAUAAAUACCCUUAGGUCAAUUGACUGACCCACCCCUGGUCCAAGGUCAAAGCCUCGGUCAAAGUCAACUUCCAGUUGAUUGGACUCGCCGAGUCGUGGCACAGACUCGCUGAGUCCUUCUCCUACUAACCCGAUCCUACUCGCCAAGUCCCUCUUCCCACUCACUGAGUCACCCUUAACUCGCUACUCAAGACUAUAGAACCGACUUGUGAUCCGACUCGCCGAGUCCCCAUGACCAGAUCUCCUACUCGCUUCCAAAUCCUCACCAGAGCAUCCCUUAAGAGGAUUUGGGGUUCUGGGGCUAUUGCUACACGUUAAAUUGCUAAUUCCACGUGCAGGUACGAAGGGUUGGACCAUCAACACUUAAACCCCUCUUACUCAGUGACAGUUCAUAUGACUCGCCGAGUUUGAAGAACAACUCGUCGAGUUCCAGGCAAUCUUCAUAGACUCGCCGAGUUGUUCAUCCAACUCGCCGAGUCUAAGACCAUCUUCAUAGAACUCACCGAGUUCCACCUUGGGACUCGCGCGAGUCCCUUCAACCCACUUCCCAUACAGACCAAAUCUGAGACAUGCAACGCUUCUAAACCAUAGAUCUAUGCUCCUAGGGCAUGCUUAUCACGUAAAGUUGCAAACUUUACGUGCAUGCAUGGCCUUAUAAGCUCAAGAAGGCAAAUACAAGCUCCUUAAGAGGUCAUACACUCAAUUGGAACCUUAAUAAAUCCAACCACAGAGACUUCACACUACUAAGAUGUACAUAAGGUCCCAAUCUGAAGUCCUUUCAGAACAUAGAGCAUGAAUACAUGGAGUUUGGGGUUUUAGGGCUUGAAAACCACUAAUUUGGGACAAAAAGGGUAUCUAAUUAACUAGUGAUCAAGGUAAGAACUUUUCUACCUAAAUGAAAGCUUCUCACAGUGUAGAUUCCGGAUCUACCUCCCCUCCUUGCACACUUCAACCUCUUCCCUCUUCUUCUAAGGUCCCAAACCUUCUUCCCAAAGCCAAAAUCACUCUUAAGAACAAUAUGGGGGCUAGGGUUUCUUUCUACAACUCUCUGGAAGUGUUAGGGACAAAGGAGGCCAAGUUAGCGCGUUUAAAUAGGGUGCAAACACCCGGAUUAGGGUUUUUGCCCAAACAGGGUCUACUCGCCGAGUCCGGGGGCCGACUCGCCGAGUCCAAAGUUCAGACCCCGCGUCUUAUCACGCGGCGAGUUGAUCCUUCAACUCGCCGAGUCCAAGGCAAAAAAACACUAUUUUAAGAAUAUAAAUCACAAGGAGUACGUACCAGGAACCGGGUGUUACAAUAAACAUAACCAUAAAAAUAGUUUUGUUAAAGCUUAGUUUAGGUUGUGGCAUAAUUAUAGUCAUAUAUAAUGGUAUGUUAAUAUAUUCACUUUUAUUCAUAAAACACCCACGAAAUUUUAUAGUAACAACAUAUUCAUCCAUAUAUAUAUAUAUAUANNNNNNNNNNNNNNNNNNNNNNNNNNNNNNNNNNNNNNNNNNNNNNUUGUAUACGUAUGAAUAAUCUAUGUUUAUGUCAUGACCAAUAGGACAUAUGCAACUUUAAUUGACAUCCAUUUGUGUAAAGAGUUUAGCGUUAUCACUUUUAUACGUUAAUGAUCUAUGCACUUUAAAAUGAUAAUAAUAAUACAUGUAUAUCUUUAUGGAUCAUUAUAUAAAUUCUAGCAUGAGAUAAAUUAUGGUAUUUCUUUGUGACAUGUUCGAUAAUACGAUCUAAAAUAUAUAGAUUAGCAUAAAAUGGAAUAUUAAUCGAAAUAUAACAUAAAAUGCCAUUAAACUUAAAUAAGUGUUAGUAAGUUUAACUAGAACAAUUUGUCAUGUGUAUUCUCCCCCAUAAAUUAUUUAAAAGAUAAAAUGGGGCCGUAGAUACUCACUUUUGUCGCAUGACGGUAUUUGGUUCGAGGAAGCCGGGAUGUUUUCGGUUCCACCGAGGCUUGAAAUUUGAAUGCUUUUGGGGAAGUAUGAGGCUUGAAAAUCACAGCAAUUAUAAAAAAAGCGUACUUUGGCUACUGUUUUGAAUAGUUAUUUUAGUGCAACAAAUUAACUAACUUUUAGAGGUAUUUUAGGGUGAAAAUAUUAAGCAAAAAGAAUGUGAAAGGGGGCUAGAAUAGUAGCUGGAAAUGGAGGGAUAACACCCUCUUUUUGGCUUUUGUUUUGCUGUUUCAUAAAGUGAGGACAAGUACAGAAUUUUGGCUGAGUUUUAAUGGCCAUUUGAGUGUAAUAUAGAGGACAUUUAGUUGCACUUGUAAGGAAGAAAUUGUAAGGGAGAAAUGAGGGGGAAGUAUCGGCAUUUAUAGGGGAAAGAUGAAGGGUGAGAAGAUUGCUAAAUUUCUAUUAGAUCGUAUAGGAUAAAAAAUUUAUAUGAUUUUUUUUACCUUGCAAUUUGCAAGUUCCACCAUCCCACUUGCUAGUUCUAGUUGCUUUUCAAAUGAUUUAGUUAGAAAAAUAAAUAAAUAAAAGGAUUGUGAGGGAGGAGAGGGUAACGAAUGGAAGGGGAAGCAAAAGAAAAGAUUUAAAUAUUGCAUCAGGUGAUUUCUUUCUUCUAACUUAUAGUCAUCCUAGCCUAUUUUAAAUUUUCUAUUCUCUUAUCUCUUUAGAUGUACACGAAUCAUGCUCCUGUAACUUCAUGUUUGACAUUUUUAUUUACUCAUUCUUUUAUUUAUUUAUUUUAUUUUUAUUGCAUGACAACUCAUAUAAAUAACAAUAGUGAUUACAUGUAUUUAUUAUUUAAAUACUUAUACUAGUGUGUAUGUUUAAUGGACGUUUAAAAUAUUUUCAUUACUCCUUGUAUAAUACCGCAUCAUAUUUUUAUAAAACAAUAGUAAUGUUUAUGGUCUAAAGCGCAAUUAUGUGCGUUUAAGUGUUUCGUAGAGAUGUUAUUUGUUUUCCAUCGGGUUUGUUCAUGAAUGACUUAAUUUAAUUAAAUUUCAAUUCCGUAUAUAAGUUCGUUGAUGGUAUCACUUAUAACCAUUGUAAGUAAGUUUACAAGAUCAACAUUUUCCAUUAUCUGGAGUCGUGUAAAUGUAAUAAUUUGAACAAACGGUUUUUAUUCAAUUGUUCUCAUGNNNNNNNNNNNNNNNNNNNNNNNNNNNNNNNNNNNNNNNNNNNNNNNNNNNNNNNNNNNNNNNNNNNNNNNNNNNNNNNNNNNNNNNNNNNNNNNNNNNNNNNNNNNNNNNNNNNNNNNNNNNNNNNNNNNNNNNNNNNNNNNNNNNNNNNNNNNNNNNNNNNNNNNNNNNNNNNNNNNNNNNNNNNNNNNNNNNNNNNNNNNNNNNNNNNNNNNNNNNNNNNNNNNNNNNNNNNNNNNNNNNNNNNNNNNNNNNNNNNNNNNNNNNNNNNNNNNNNNNNNNNNNNNNNNNNNNNNNNNNNNNNNNNNNNNNNNNNNNNNNNNNNNNNNNNNNNNNNNNNNNNNNNNNNNNNNNNNNNNNNNNNNNNNNNNNNNNNNNNNNNNNNNNNNNNNNNNNNNNNNNNNNNNNNNNNNNNNNNNNNNNNNNNNNNNNNNNNNNNNNNNNNNNNNNNNNNNNNNNNNNNNNNNNNNNNNNNNNNNNNNNNNNNNNNNNNNNNNNNNNNNNNNNNNNNNNNNNNNNNNNNNNNNNNNNNUAUAUAUAUAUAUUAAAAAGAGUUAUUAAUACAAAAUCUGUAAGUGAGAAUUAUACAAAAUAAUAACGACAAACUAUUUAUCAUGUAAAGUAUUGCAUCAGAUUUUGAUAAACUUCACAAGAUUUUAUAAUGACAUGGUUUUUGAAAAAUUAAUUUUAAUUAUAGUUAAAUUUAAAAUAGUUCAUAACAUUUGUAAAAACUUAAAUAAUUUUUUCUUCUAUGCCAACUAAUGACAAAGGAAAUAAUUCAUUCUUAGAUUGUUUAUUUGUUGUUUUAAUGGAAGUAAUUAAUUUUUAGAUUGUUUAUUUGUUGUUUUCAUGGUUUCAAGUAUAUCAUAAUUCUAUAAGGUUUAGGUUAUAAAUGUGAAUAUCUUUAAUUAAUUUGUUGCAAAUAUAAAAUUAAUGAUUACCUAAUUUGAAAAGUCAUCAAUAUUCAUUUUCUUAAAAGUUAAAGGAUCUUGUGAGUUAACCUUUGUCAAUAUAAUAUCAACAAAUUGAGAACUAAUAAUACAUAGACACACAACUGCACAUCCCCGACACAUUGACUAUUUCACUUAGUUCAUACAAAAUUGAGAAUGAAGAGAACAUUCUUUGUGAUCGUUUUUCUUUUUGUAGCAGGUGAGCAAUUUCUGUAUGUACAUAAAUCACUAUCACUAUGGUCUCGAAUCUUUUUUAAUGAAUAAAAUAAGAGGAUUAUGUGAGAUUAGAAAGGAAAAACGUGUUCCCAACUUUUUUUAUGCAAUGAAAGAAAAGGUUUACUACCCCACCCCCCUCUCACCCACUCAAAAUUAUCCAUCUAAUUUUGUGCUAAUUAUGAGGGAAAGCAAAAAAAAAUCAUUAUGUUCCUUUCCUUCAAACUGGAGAACACCAUUGGUAUUUCUUACCUUUCAUUCUCUUUUUCACUUUCAUUUUUUCUAAUUUUAAAAUUCAAGAAGAGGAUGAUUAUGUAUGCUAUGAAAAAACACUUGUAUUGGAAUUAGCAUGCAAGCAAGGUAAUGAAAAAUCCAGGGUAUUUUGGGCACUCUCAUACGGGGUUCUCGAUAUACAUAUAUAUAUAUAUAAUAUGAAUUAACAUCUACCUUUUUUUAAUUUAUGUGACAGGUUUGAAGGACGUGACUUCGUAUUCACAAGAUUCGGUUCCACCAGAAUGUAACAGUUCUAUAGAUUGCUUUCAUCGUUGUGGAAUGUUUGGGUCUCAUGUUUGAAAAAAGCAUCAAUGUAUUUGUCUAAGUAAUGGUGAACAAAAGGACCCACGCCCACAUGUGCAAAUCGAUGAAAAUGUAUAGGAAUAAUGUCAAAAUGCAAUAUCAAGUG